CCCAAACCCACUCGUUCCCCCCCCCCAGCACAGCUGCCGGAGCCCGCCCGCCGACACCUCGCCGCGGCCCCGUCUGAACCAGCUGCUUUGAGGAGAGCUUUCGAAUGAAUAACUAAGCUGUGAAUUUCUAAGAAUUUACUCAAACUCUAGAGAGGAAUCCAUAGAGGUAUCCAAAAAUCUCUAGAGGAGCACCAGCUAAGAGUGGCUGAAGACUGUUGAUGAAAAGAAGGAACAGAUGGUGGCACCAUCCCAUCUCAGCACCAAAUACUGCCCUAGAGUUGUACGGGAUGCAAAACCCAUCCGUGUGUGAAGCAGAUAGUACUCCUCCAAAGUGUCAGACUGGUAGAUUUUAUGGUGGAUUUCUACAGCUGAGAGACAACUGUCUGUGAAUUUCCAGGUCAUGUAACUUUGCUCACUCUUGUGGAAAGCCUGAGGAGCUCCAGGAGGGGUUUAAAGAAAUCUUCCUCUCCUGUUCAGGCUGCUCCAGGCCUUUCUCUCUGUGCCUUCACAGCCAGCUCUGAUCUGUGUUCCCUUGGCUCCUCCAAGCUCCUCCAAGCCCAUGCCUUGCCACCCCAUGCAGCCACCAGUGCUACUGCCACUCAACUUUCUCCCCACUGCUGUGAGCCUCUGCAGAUCAGUUGUCCUGCCUCUCUGCCGGUGAAGGGAUCCCCCUCUCCCACAAAGGCACCUCUGUCUCUGCAAAGCACUUUGCCAGACUUUUCAUUGCAAACAGCUGAACAAGUAACAGCACUACAGCUAGAGUGACAGAUCCCCUGUUUUCCAAAGCACUGGGGUUCUGCUGAUUGAGCCAGGCACUAAGCAUUCUUGAAGAGUCAGAAGUGGACUGUAAUUGAAGAGUUCAUUACCAAGAUCAGUUGGCUCCUUGAUUACAGUGGCAAGGUGAAAUAUAUAUCCUCACCAAAAAGCAACUGCUAAACCUUUAGAGAAGUCACCCACUUUUCACUCUUUUUCAUUAGGACCCCGACAAGCUUGUCAGCAAAAUUAAAGUGUGCAGGUGGUAAAACACUGGCUGCCAUGAACUUCCUGUUAAAAAAAUAGAAAGAAGAAAAAGCUGUUGUCUGGAGACUGCUAAAUAGCAAACUGCAAGCUUGUAACGUGGCUGCUGAAAUCGCUACAAGGAUAAUAAGGCAUACACACAUUUGUGGAUAAUUCUGUUUGCUAAUUGCUCAUGAAAUUUCAGUGUCUGGAUUUCUUUACUUAAACUUUUCCAUUCUUCAGACUUGAGCCAAUUGAAAGUGAAGAAGGGAAUCUUCCAGAUGGCUGCAUCUUGAAAAACAGGUGCUGCAGUAAUUACUUUCUAUCCGAACAUACUGCACUACUCGAAGGGACUGGCCAGCACUGACCCACCUUCCAUGCAAGCGACAAUAAAGCAGAAAACCUGGGACAGGCAUUCAGCUUCAGCAGGUUGAAGAGAGGAGGGGAACAGUGUGACACAGUCAGAGCUUUUAAAUACUAUCGGUUCUUUUAUUUAAGAAGCCAAGGAGUACAAAAGGUAAAUAAACAUUUACAGUGCUCUUUUCACCAGUGCUGAAUAGAUCACAGCACGACCUGUACCCCCUCUAGUUGUCUUUCCAAAAGUCUGACUGCCUUGCUCUUUUCUAUCUCGUCUGGGCUCUUACUGCCCUUAAUAUAAUUAUAUUUGUGUUCAAUGACUGUUGCUGACCAAAAAUGGUAAUAAUUUAUAAUGAAUUAGUACCUUCACAAAUAUCACAUCCCUUUCCAUUCACAUUGUCCAUAAACAGAUGGAUUUUUUUUCCAUUAGACAUAAUUAUUCCCAAACUCAUUUGUGGAGGGAGGAUAAUUUUUUCCUCCCUAUGUAGCCAGUUCAAAGGUAAAACAUGGUAUUUGUUCUGUAGACAAAAGACAUGCUGCGCAUGUAUGCUGGUUAUGUGGCACUAUUUCUUUUCACUGGUUGAAUGAAUGUAACAAAUGAAAGUUUCUUCAUUUAAGAAAAAUUACCUGAAUUACCCGCUAGUUAUCUGUGUUAUUUGUUCAGAAUUUCUUUCCGCAAAUAUUUGUAAGUAUUCUCUUUCACUCACGGUAGCAAGCAUUGUAUUUAUUAUAUACCCACCUAUUAAAAUAGCUAUUAUAAUAGCUGGACAAAGUGAAUGUAACCCCUAGCCCUCUUACAUGCACAGGUAAUAUUUCAUAUAGAAGCUGCAGGAUUUUAUUUUUUUUUAAAUACAGAGUUCUAAUUAAGGGCUUAAUUAUAAAAUAUUUACUCAUUCUGCUGAGUGCUUAGUGGCCAGUGCUCUUGGGUCCCUUAGGAGUAGUAACCUGAGUAAACAGGAAUCUUCACUUUGGUACCUACUUAAGAGCUGUAAUGAAAAGAAAAAAAUAAAAGACUGAACCUAAAUGAAUCCCCUCCAAAUCCCUUUGAAGUUGAGUGUAUGAGGCAGCUAUAUACAACUGGCCAAAAAAGAUGACUGGCAAACCAGCCCCAGUGCUUUAUUUUUCAGUGAGACACCAAGCCAAAAGGGGUGGUUUUCUCAUACUGAUGAAGCCCAAGGUGACAGAAAUAUGGCAGAGCAUGAUCCUAUGCAGUUACAGGCCAGGAGGUAGGAAGGCCAGGACAUUUAAGCAUCGUUGAACACAAACCUACAGCCUAGCCUGGUCUUAAAACUUCAUCUAAAAAUUAAUACAGAGCCAAAUGCCCCCUUCAUAUUCCAGCUCUUUGUGACAAAGUGGUUUUCAGAGUAAGCAAUAAAUAUUUUGCUAAUUUAAAAAUCCAGUGUCCAGACACAGAAUCACUUGCUUACUUUCCAAAAAUACUUUGGAGAGGCCAGAAGUCUUCAAAACAGUCACAGUGAGCAUCUAAGCUGAACUAGCAGUACAGGGUAGCAUUCACACAGAGUAGAUGGAUUUUAGAUCAUGUGUGCAGUACAUCACUAAUGUAGUCUUCAGAUUUUAUCAAUGCUAGAGUGCAGUGCUUCAGUUAAAAAGAAAACAGUAAUAAAAUCAGUGCAAACUAUAAAGCAAACUAUUAAAAAAAAAGACUUUCUUUGGCUCAUUUACCCAGUCAGCUUUGCAUUAACUUUCCCGUAACAGGAUUCACAUAAAAUUUUUCAUGCCAAGCACAAGUGUCCUCUGGAUCCUGAAACUAUCAUGUUAGUUGAUUCAACAGAAAGAAAAGGUGCCAUGAAAUAAUGUCAAGUCUGUAUUCAUACUAGGAUAUCAAGAGGAAAAAAGUCAAUUUUAGUAUUACCAAUUUUAGUACUUACCAGCAAAAUGUAACCAUUUUUUUCACACAGCCACUUUAUAGCUCAGCUCUUGUGUUCCACCCUUAAAACCUUAACAUGUAAGCGCAACAGUUUUUCCAUGUGUAAGUGUGCACAGUUGCUCUGAAUCCCAGUUUAGGCAUGCUCUGACCACUUGGUUGUUAUGGGAGUGAUGCCUCCGUUGAAUUGGCUUUGUCCCAGGUAAUGCCACCCUGCUGUACUGGGCAUACAGAUUCACGGUAAGAGGUGCACUUACAAGCCUCCUCCAGAGUAAAGCCAAAUAUCAAAUACAAAUCCAUGCCUCUGCCAGACCAAAUGAUUUACCUUCAGCUGAAUUACACCUAUUCUUUGCCACUUCUUCCUGAACAAGUAUUCGGCUCACAUUUUAACAGAAAAUGGUUGAAACACGAAGUUUUCAGGUGAAGAAAGGGAGAAAACUGAAGUUCCUUAAAGUUACUAUGAAAUCAAUAAAUAAAUAAACACUGGAUGUGCUACAUGCCUUUCAUUUUUUCCCCCAGAAAACAGUUUCCAGAUGGAUUUUCCCCAAGAUGUUAAUAUUAUGCUGGUUUUAACGCUGAUUGAAGCAAAGUAGCAAGUGGUUAUUACAGGCCUGACAUGCCUGUUCUGCCAAGAAACAGCAUGAGCUUUCAACUCUGAAAACAAGGACUGAACUUCAGUUUUCCUGGCCCAUUAUGCAGCAGUCCUCUGUGUAUGGGAAGUGCAACUAUCAAGCAAACAAACAAACAAACAACCCCUCAAAAACCUCAAAACCAAACAAACAACUUCCAAAACCAAAAACAAAUUAGGAGAGCCCGAUCUAUCCCAAAACAGCUAAUGGAUAUUAAAUCAAGCUCAGGCUACCUCAACAGUGUAAAACUUCUUUCUCGGAUCUUCUGAAGAAGAAAUGCCUCUAGAGAUCUCCUCAGCUAGGCUGAAAUGCUUCUCUGGGUCAGGUUGUAAGCACUAUUCUUAAUGAGGUUGUCUGGUAGAGAAAGGCUUUCCAGCUGGGCCUGCUGGGGAUCAGUUAAUAUAGUAUUUGUCCCAAAUCUUUUCACAAGCUUUUACUGGACCUCUUCAGUGUCUCAUUCCGGUAUGAUGCUGGAUGUUCUAUGAGUGGCUGGUGACAGCAAUAAAACCUGAUCUAUGACUGUAAGAUGACUGUUCAUUCUUACAUCUGACAGCAAAGCCUUGCUACCCCCAAGGUGGCAUAUUCAGCUUUUCCAGACAUGUUUUUCCCUGGACCUGUGAGAAUACAUUGAAGGCUGUCUAACUUUCUCCUGUGUUCGGAAUGAAGUAGGUAAUGGUCAGCCAGGUGAGAUGGGCACCAUGAAACAACCUCUUUCCAUAACUUGUAUCCGCCAGGCAGAAAUAGGUGGGAGAGCAACUGGCCUAUAGCACUCUCACCAGAAAAAAAGGCAAGCCAAAGAUAGUUCAUGUGCAGCUCAUGAAGCUCUCGGAAAUGACUGUGUAUAUGGUUUAAUAGCACAUCCACACAAAAUUACACUUUUAAUAUUCAGUGAGAGGAAGAAGGCAGAACAGUGUAGGGCCAUAACCAGCACACAAUGCAUUACUAUUGCAACAACAACCAGCUAAACUACCAGGUAUUUAUUUUUCAGUAUUCACAAUUGUUGAAGGAGAGUGUAAAUUAUUCUUUGACACUCAGAUGGAGAUGUAGAAAGCUCUGUGCUUCCCCUAGCUCCCAUGGUCCUGACAAGGAACAACUCACAAAUUCUAAUAAAUAGAAAAUAGAAAUAAAUACUUUAACUAUAUGGCAUAGAGUUUUGAAUGGCUUUCUGAAUCAGAAAGUGCUGCUCGUACAUCUUCGUUAUUUCUACACUCUGUAAUGUUGGCUCUCCAAAAGUCAGAGACAAAGUGAGAUAGAUGCCACAAGGAUCACAGGCACUACACUGGGAAACUGAGUAUCAAUGGUACAUCCAGAUUUAUGGUAGGUGAUGGCAGUAAAGUGAAAGCAAAACUGUUUGCACAGUCUGUAGUCUUGCCCAUUACUCUGUAUUUGCCCUUUUUUUCUUGCUUAGAUACAGCUGAAAGAAUGGAGAAUUGUGCUUUCUAUACAGUAUUAGGAGACACUUUUUGAUCAUAAGGUCAAUCAGACUAGUUUACUGAUUUGAGGUAUUUAUGGCACAAUCACUCAGUGUCUUUAAGGAAAGGUUAGAUACAUUUAUGGGAAAUAUGUUUUGUAGAAACCUUCCUGUUUCAUAGAGGUCUUGGACAAAAUGACCCAAGAGGCCCCUUCCAAGUCUACCAAGUGUGGUUCCCUGAUUGAUGCUGUUUCCCCCCCAAGUCUUUUGAAAACACAAAGCACUGUUAUAAAAUUUAAUAUGGUACACUGUAUAACUUUAACACAAUGCCUUAUAGGAAAUAGUUAGUUGCCAGCACAGGGGCCUCGUGCAAAAGGAAGAAAAGAAGAAAAAAGAAAUUGCAGAACAGUUUCUCUGCCAUGGGAUAUCGACUAUAACAUUUACACUGUUUCCUAGUAUGGAAUCUCAUCUGUGCAGGGGGCACCAAGUCAUGGAGACAUGGUCCCCAGGAGAUAGUCAUUGUUUGUUUUAUUGGCCUCUUGGAUUGUUAUGCGGUGAAGGCUCUGUGUGGAAGGAAACUUUAAUGCAUUAAGAUUGCUUUAUGGGCUGAAAUCUCUCUGAGGAGAGCAAUUUCAGG
Long non-coding RNA from Cuculus canorus (common cuckoo), 5915 nucleotides. RefSeq lists it as uncharacterized. Lineage: Eukaryota; Metazoa; Chordata; Aves; Cuculiformes; Cuculidae. The transcript is spliced from 17 exons. The record is from RefSeq and is a predicted model, not a curated record.